Molecule: long non-coding RNA, 1032 nt
Organism: Rhopalosiphum padi (bird cherry-oat aphid)
Lineage: Eukaryota; Metazoa; Arthropoda; Insecta; Hemiptera; Aphididae
Exons: 5
Source: RefSeq, a predicted model, not a curated record
UGUGUAUAUUUUUUUCUGUUUCUAAUUAAAGUAAAAAUAAAAAAAGAGAUUAUUUUUUUUAUUUUCCUAUAAAUAAUAAUUUAUUAUUUCCAAGCUUUAGAAUACCUAUAAUAUUCACUAUGUAUUUUAAAAAGUAGGAUAUACAUUUAAAUCAAGCGAUGUUGUAUAAAAGUUUUUGUAUUUUACACAUUAGUGUGCAUAUUAAAGUAAUCAGGAGUUUUAAUCAAUUAGUAAGUUGUAAACGCAAAGCGAGUAGCCAGCCGGUGAAAUUUAUGUGGUAACAAACAAAAGAGAAAAGUAUGUGAGCAAGAUAUCCAAACUUUUUUUAGUUUGUGUAGUCCAGGCUCAAGUGAUAUUUUUGUGACACUGAUCCACACUAUACACCUAUACUUAAAAUCAACCAAGAUACAUCAUUAUCUCAUCAAAUAAGCCAACAAAACCUCAAAAUAUAUCCUUAACAGCCCAGAAAAAAGCUUGACUUUGACAAAAGUUUCAACCAUCAAUAAUAAUGCUACUAUCACAAGUACUCCACAACAAUCUAAUUCUAAGCUGCCAACUUCAAAUGAUAAUAUUGGUUAAUGAACUAAGUCGAUAUGUCCGUAAUCACUUACAAGUACCAUUUGGUCAAUGAUGCGUUAUCUUUUCGACGAUAAUUUAUUACAAGAAUACAGUAACAAAGGACAAAAAAAAGAAGAAAAUAUUUUCAACAUUAAAAUCAUGUUCCAUUAUAUUUGUGUAUUUAGAUUCUGUAAAAAAAAUGAAGAGACCAGAACAUGAUAAAAUUGAUGCAGAACAACCAAUAAAAAUUUUCAUUGCUUGAGCUAAAUUUCAAGGAAACUAUAAUAAGCCAUGUCAAGAAGACCUAUCAGAUAAUUAUAAUAAUUGUAUAAUUUAAUAUAAUAAUUAUUCUCAGUAAUGACAUAUGUCCAUAUACAUACAUGUAAAUAUUUACAUUUAUUUUUUUAUAAGAAUGGAACUUAUAAAAUUCUGUAUUAAUAAAAGGAACAAAUUAUUUGUUGAUUGUUAUACUUA